CCUACGGGUGGCAGCAGUGAGGAAUAUUGGUCAAUGGGCGCGAGCCUGAACCAGCCAAGUAGCGUGAAGGAUGACUGCCCUACGGGUUGUAAACUUCUUUUAUAAAGGAAUAAAGUGAGGCACGUGUGCCUUUUUGUAUGUACUUUAUGAAUAAGGAUCGGCUAAUUCCGUGCCAGCAGCCGCGGUAAUACGGAGGAUCCGAGCGUUAGCCGGAUUUAUUGGGUUUAAAGGGAGCGUAGAUGGGAUGUUAAGUUUGUUGUGAAAGUUUGCGGCUCAACCGGAACAUUGCAAUUGAUACUGGCGGGCUUGAGUACAGUUGAGGCAGGCGGAAUGCGUGGUGUAGCGGUGAAAUGCUUAGAUAUCACGAAGAACUCCGAUUGCGAAGGCAGCUUACUAAACUGCCACUGACGUUGAUGCUCGAAAGUGUGGGUAUCAAACAGGAUUAGAUACCCCGGUAGUC
RNAcentral lists this ribosomal RNA (460 nucleotides) under uncultured bacterium. RNAcentral's name for it is "partial 16S ribosomal RNA". It matches the Rfam family "Bacterial small subunit ribosomal RNA", at positions 338 to 795 of the family's 1533-position model. The record is from RNAcentral.